CAUUAUUGAUUGCGAAUCGUUGUCUCCAGUGCUGGCCAGCUCGCCUGGCAAGUGCACGUUGGCAGCUUUCAUCCAAUACCCUUGUGCACCUUUGGCCUCUUGCUAGCUUCGGCGAGCAGAGGAUUUUUACACCCACUCGAAUGUAAUGAAAUUAUUGUUGUGCACACGCACUACUAUACAACUUUCAACAACGGAUCUCUUGGCUCUCGCAUCGAUGAAGAACGCAGCGAAAUGCGAUAAGUAAUGUGAAUUGCAGAAUUCAGUGAAUCAUCGAAUCUUUGAACGCACCUUGCACCCUUUGGCAUUCCGAAGGGUAUGCUCGUUUGAGUGUCAUUGUACUCUCACACUCCCGAUCAUUUGGUUAGGAGCGGUGGACUUGGGUGUUGCUGCUUGACCGUGGCUCACCUUAAAUGCAGUAGUGCAACUUUCGGUUGGACAUAGUACGGCGUGAUAAGUGUCUUCGCCGGCACCUCCUCACAGAGGGUGGCCGAUCGGGAGCUCUGUGCUUCCAACCGUCUUCGGACAACAACUGACAACUUGACCUCAAAUCGAGUAGGACUACCCGCUGAACUUAAGCAUAUCAAUAAGCGGAGGAAAAGAAACUAACAAGGAUUCCCCUAGUAACGGCGAGUGAAGAGGGAAGAGCUCAAAUUUUG
RNAcentral lists this ribosomal RNA (656 nucleotides) under uncultured fungus. RNAcentral's name for it is "eukaryotic LSU rRNA". The stretch from base 180 to 333 matches the Rfam family "5.8S ribosomal RNA". The record is from RNAcentral. Lineage: Eukaryota; Fungi.